UCCUCCCUCUGGCGGCGUGCUUAACACAUGCAAGUCGAACGGAAAGGCCCUGCUUUUGUGGGGUGCUCGAGUGGCGAACGGGUGAGUAACACGUGAGUAACCUGCCCUUGACUUUGGGAUAACUUCAGGAAACUGGGGCUAAUACCUGAUAGGAGCUCCUGCUGCAUGGUGGGGGUUGGAAAGUUUCGGCGGUUGGGGAUGGACUCGCGGCUUAUCAGCUUGUUGGUGGGGUAGUGGCUUACCAAGGCUUUGACGGGUAGCCGGCCUGAGAGGGUGACCGGCCACAUUGGGACUGAGAUACGGCCCAGACUCCUACGGGAGGCAGCAGUGGGGAAUAUUGCACAAUGGGCGGAAGCCUGAUGCAGCAACGCCGCGUGCGGGAUGACGGCCUUCGGGUUGUAAACCGCUUUCGCCUGUGACGAAGCGUGAGUGACGGUAAUGGGUAAAGAAGCACCGGCUAACUACGUG
This 468-nucleotide ribosomal RNA is filed under the name uncultured bacterium. RNAcentral's name for it is "partial 16S ribosomal RNA". It matches the Rfam family "Bacterial small subunit ribosomal RNA", at positions 36 to 507 of the family's 1533-position model. The record is from RNAcentral.